RNAcentral lists this unclassified non-coding RNA (1909 nucleotides) under Leishmania donovani. RNAcentral describes it as "gene:LdHU3.22.0580(CDS-product:hypothetical_prote in_conserved)". The record is from RNAcentral. Lineage: Eukaryota; Euglenozoa; Kinetoplastea; Trypanosomatida; Trypanosomatidae.
GUUGCUGCCGAGGCGGCGGGCGCGCUGGCGCAGCUGGCGGAGGACCGCGCCGCGGACAUGGCGCAGGCCGUGUCGAGCGCCGAGGGAGGCAGCCGCGCCGCCCUUGAGGCAACCGAGGCCGCCGAGCGCGCCGAGCAGGAGCGCGCUUGCGUUGCGUCGGAGGAGUGCGCUGCGCGCGCCGGCGUUGCUGCCGAGGCGGCGGGCGCGCUGGCGCAGCUGGCGGAGGACCGCGCCGCGGACAUGGCGCAGGCCGUGUCGAGCGCCGAGGGAGGCAGCCGCGCCGCCCUUGAGGCAACCGAGGCCGCCGAGCGCGCCGAGCAGGAGCGCGCUUGCGUUGCGUCGGAGGAGUGCGCUGCGCGCGCCGGCGUUGCUGCCGAGGCGGCGGGCGCGCUGGCGCAGCUGGCGGAGGACCGCGCCGCGGACAUGGCGCAGGCCGUGUCGAGCGCCGAGGGAGGCAGCCGCGCCGCCCUUGAGGCAACCGAGGCCGCCGAGCGCGCCGAGCAGGGGCGCGCUUGCGUUGCGUCGGAGGAGUGCGCUGCGCGCGCCGGCGUUGCUGCCGAGGCGGCGGGCGCGCUGGCGCAGCUGGCGGAGGACCGCGCCGCGGACAUGGCGCAGGCCGUGUCGAGCGCCGAGGGAGGCAGCCGCGCCGCCCUUGAGGCAACCGAGGCCGCCGAGCGCGCCGAGCAGGGGCGCGCUUGCGUUGCGUCGGAGGAGUGCGCUGCGCGCGCCGGCGUUGCUGCCGAGGCGGCGGGCGCGCUGGCGCAGCUGGCGGAGGACCGCGCCGCGGACAUGGCGCAGGCCGUGUCGAGCGCCGAGGGAGGCAGCCGCGCCGCCCUUGAGGCAACCGAGGCCGCCGAGCGCGCCGAGCAGGAGCGCGCUUGCGUUGCGUCGGAGGAGUGCGCUGCGCGCGCCGGCGUUGCUGCCGAGGCGGCGGGCGCGCUGGCGCAGCUGGCGGAGGACCGCGCCGCGGACAUGGCGCAGGCCGUGUCGAGCGCCGAGGGAGGCAGCCGCGCCGCCCUUGAGGCAACCGAGGCCGCCGAGCGCGCCGAGCAGGAGCGCGCUUGCGUUGCGUCGGAGGAGUGCGCUGCGCGCGCCGGCGUUGCUGCCGAGGCGGCGGGCGCGCUGGCGCAGCUGGCGGAGGACCGCGCCGCGGACAUGGCGCAGGCCGUGUCGAGCGCCGAGGGAGGCAGCCGCGCCGCCCUUGAGGCAACCGAGGCCGCCGAGCGCGCCGAGCAGGAGCGCGCUUGCGUUGCGUCGGAGGGAUGUGUUGGGCGGUUAUCGGCAUCUGGGUGUGGUGUUUGUAGUGGGGGUACUCUUGUGGGGAUGGAAUGUGGCAGGCAUGACUGUUCUUUGCGGUUUUCGUAUCCCUUGUCUGCGUGUGUUCUACGUUUGGUUGAGGAAGAGGAGGAUAUGCGCGCGCUGUUACAGCGUGAGGAGAUUGUUGCUCGAAGAUGGAAGGUGUCGCGUUGUUUCGCUCCAGGGUCGCUAGCGUCGCGGGGUUUAGAAGGAAAGCGGAACGUCUCCGUAUAUCGCGAGGUUUCUGUGACGGACUGCUUAUCUCAGCAUGGUGUGUUUGAGGGGACGCGCAACAGUGUGACCAGCGACGCGCUUCAGCGGUGGGUUCGUUCGAAUCGCUGAAAAAGGAAUGUUGGAGUGUAACGUGUGGGCCAUCGCGAGUUCCGUCGGGGAGGAAGAGAACAGGUCUCGAGCUGGCAGUUGGAAGUGUUUUCAUGCGGGGAUGGAAUCCGCUGAUGCGCGGUUGUUGAAGGCGGAAAUGAAUGUUUUUUUUUUGACGAUAACUUUGUGGUAUCGUGGAUUACUCAUAGGCUCCUCAUAGCACGGUGAUGUUUGGCGGGGCUCUUGCUGUGCGCCGCCUCAGAUAGUGUGCCUGUUGCAGGGAGAGCCAUUC